AAUAGAUACCCGGGUAGUCCCAGCCGUAAACGAUGCUCGCUAGGUGUCAGGCAUGGCGCGACCGUGUCUGGUGCCGCAGGGAAGCCGUGAAGCGAGCCACCUGGGAAGUACGGCCGCAAGGCUGAAACUUAAAGGAAUUGGCGGGGGAGCACAACAACGGGUGGAGCCUGCGGUUUAAUUGGACUCAACGCCGGACAACUCACCGGGGACGACAGCAAUAUGUAGGCCAGGCUAAAGACCUUGCCUGAAUCGCUGAGAGGAGGUGCAUGGCCGUCGCCAGUUCGUACUGUGAAGCAUCCUGUUAAGUCAGGCAACGAGCGAGACCCGUGCCCACUGUUACCAGCAUGUCCUCCGGGACGAUGGGUACUCUGUGGGGACCGCCGAUGUUAAAUCGGAGGAAGGUGCGGGCUACGGUAGGUCAGUAUGCCCCGAAUUUCCCGGGCUACACGCGGGCUACAAUGAAUGAGACAAUGGGUCCCUACCCCGAGAGGGGUUGGUAAUCUCCAAACCCAUCCGUAGUUCGGAUCGAGGGCUGUAACUCGCCU
This 545-nucleotide ribosomal RNA is filed under the name uncultured bacterium. Its description in RNAcentral is "bacterial SSU rRNA". It matches the Rfam family "Archaeal small subunit ribosomal RNA", at positions 728 to 1273 of the family's 1478-position model. The record is from RNAcentral.